Molecule: RNA transcript, 2455 nt
Organism: Lycium barbarum (goji berry)
Lineage: Eukaryota; Viridiplantae; Streptophyta; Magnoliopsida; Solanales; Solanaceae
Exons: 7
Source: RefSeq, a predicted model, not a curated record
UUUGCUGGAAAAAAAAAAUUCGGGUCGAGUUGAGUUAUUUUAGUGAGUAAAAAAUUAUUUAAGGGUAAAAUAAUUUUGAAGGACUGGGAUAAUGACACGUGGCAGCAAUUAGACAUGAGACUAUAAUUAACCCAUAUUAUAACUGUAAGGUAUAAUUGGACCUAAAGUAUAACGAAGGUAUGUUUCAAACUAUUUUUCAAAGUUGAGGGUAAUUUUGGCCCUUUUCCGUUUGAUAAUUCUAGAAUCCAGAGGAGUUAAUUCAUAAUAGAGAGAUGACUCUCUUCUCUAGAUUUUCAAUUCAAAGGAUUGCCCUUUGAGUUCUCAUCUGGAUUUUGCAGUGUUUGAUUAUGUGCGCUUCGCCUUCUACUGUAAUCGAAUUGUUGUGGCAUCUCAGAUAUUGGGAAUUCAGUUUUACAACAACAACAACAUACCCAGUGUAUUCUCAUAAGUGGGGUUAGGGGAGGGUAGGAUGUAUGCAGGCCUUACCCCUACCUUUGUGGGGGUAGGGAGGCCGUUUCCGAUAGACUCUCGGCUCAAGAGAAAAACAGACCAUGUUGGCUGACUGCUACACACACGAUGAUGAUGAUUGGGAUCACAAGUGGUGUUAAUGCUAAUAACCAAUUAAGUUUUAGAGGAUGAUCAAAGGAUGCUUCUGAUAGAUUGAUACCCAUAAAGUGUUCGAUAAAUAUAUCAGGAAAAUAUUUCCUACUUCUUCAGAGGAUAGCACAAUACCAGCAACAUAUUGAAAUAGAAGCCAUUCUUUGUGUAUGCCCCCCGCUAAGACGAGCAGAGUAACAGGCCCUUUAGUUUAGAUUUCUAAGGAUUAACUCCAACAUGUAUAGUGAUGAGGACAACGAGUAAUAUAUAUCUUGAUAAUUAUGAGAUUUCUACUAUAUAGAAGAGUGAACAAUGGAACGACCAAGGGGAAAAACGUAAAUUAGCUCAGUGAAAAAGAAAUCUUCGUCACAUUUACACCAACAGAGACCCAAUAUAUAUGUCUAGAAACAUCCGUUCAUCUGUUUCUCUCCUUCAUAUUUCUCAAGUGCCACCCUCUCAAAGAAUGGUCUUUCAGUUUUCUUAAGUCUCAAUGAACUUUUUCGGUUGGUUACAACGUCAAGUAUGUUCAUCUUUCAAUUUUUGCCCAAUUCUUAUUCGUUUUUCCCCUUCAUCUUCUUUUCAAUCCUUGGCUUUUUCGGAUCUUUUCAGAUUCCUAAGAUUGUUAUCAUUCUGUCUUUCCAUAAGUUCGUCACCUGAACAUAGAAGCAUGGAACAUUGAAACAUUGAGUGGGAAAAAAAAAUACAAAAAUAGAUGACCAAAUAAAAAAGGGAAGGCUUCGUUAUGUAUAAACUGUAGAAGUGUGACUGAGAGUAGAUAAAGAUGAAAAAACAGAUGAUAGCAGUGUUUCAAUCUGAGUUGACUCCUUAGCGCAGAACGAGAAUCUCUUCACUGGAUAAUCUGGUGAUACUUUAAUAUUGUAAUUUUACAUCCAACAUUAAUGACAAUUUAGAUAUUUUGCCUAUUAACAAUGUUUCGAAAUAUCUAGACUACUCAAUAGCAUUCCCUAUCAGUCCUCUCCCUCGCAGGGUAUGAUCUAUGUUCGCCAUAAACUCAUUUGCUGACAGUGGGCGUCAAAAAACCACUAGACCAGCAAUUUCAUGGCUUUUCUCUGGUGUAUUAGGAUCUUUCUAAGGAUAAAAAGCAACCAAACUGUCAAAUUCCAAUGGUAAAAGAGGGACCAGGAUUCUUCGAUGCCUGAUGAAACUUCUGAUUGAAGACUACAGUUUAUAUAGCAAAUGACCUUGCAAAUAACCUUCUCAAGUGGUCUAAUCAGCUCUCUGAUGGUUGAGAUGGCUAAAACACUCAAUAUUGAGGCUCCUGAUUUGUGUGUAUGCCAAAGUCCUGCAACCAAUGCAUAUACACUGGCCGUUAGUGGUAAAAAAAGACUCUUGUAGUUGUUCAUAAAAGAAUCUUCUAAUAUGCAUUAUUAAAGAGAAGGAAUGUACUAAAUGAACUACUGCAAAGAUUCUGAAGACUUUUUGGCUGUACAUGUUUGAUUUAAAUCAUGUCAUCCUUGUUUUUUCUGUUGUUAUAUAGCAGAGGAAUGGAGAGAUGACACAAGAGAAACAGCUUUGAGCCAUUUUAAGAGUGCGGGACAACUUUUACUACGCUUGACUGCACGGGUAGAUGACGUGCACAAAAUCUGGUCCAUGUCGUAUGUUACAUUGUUCGAGAUUAGUUUGAAGAUGCAACGCCUUUCUGGAAAAAGUGUGCAUGAAGUAGUAAUGUCUCUUCCAAAUAAUUCACAUGAAUAUUCUUGUUUGGUAUUUACACAUGAAUCUUCUUUCUAUGAUGUAUCUUGUUACAUUUAUGUUUCAGUGUGUGACAAAAUACGUUUGUAUUGUUGUAUUGUUAUUGCCUCUAUUAUUCUAAAUAAAGUUCUAAAGUUUCAGCUUG